UUUAUACAUGCAUGAUGAGUUUAUAACUUGUUUUGUUAUAUGCUAUAUGAAAUGCUUUAUUUUGUAUUAUCUGUUAUUUUCUAAAUAUUGCAUUAUCAUGAAAAACUUAUGCUUGAUCCGAUAAGGAAGCGCAAGUUCUACUUACUGGGCUAGUGUAGCUCAUAUUCUUUUUGUUUUCUUUUUGUUUGAACAGAGAAAUAAGGUUAGGAUCGGCAAAAGGAAUCCAAACUUGAAGAUCGGCAUAGCAAGCUUGAAAAUUUGACAGCCGAAGUUUAAUUUAUUUUAUAAUCAUGGAUUUGUAGUUAUUUAUGAAUGUUGAGAUUCGGAUUAGUACUUGCUUUUGGAUUUAGAUGCUCUGAACCAAUAUUGGUUCGAU
Molecule: long non-coding RNA, 376 nt
Filed under: Elaeis guineensis (African oil palm)
Lineage: Eukaryota; Viridiplantae; Streptophyta; Magnoliopsida; Arecales; Arecaceae
Description: long non-coding RNA (EGUI_LNC038359)
Source: RNAcentral